AACGAACGCUGGCGGCAUGCCUAACACAUGCAAGUCGAACGAGACCUUCGGGUCUAGUGGCGCACGGGUGAGUAACGCGUGGGAACCUGCCCUUAGGUUCGGAAUAACUCCCCGAAAGGGGUGCUAAUACCGGAUAAUGUCUUCGGACCAAAGAUUUAUCGCCUUUGGAUGGGCCCGCGUUGGAUUAGCUAGUUGGUAGGGUAAACGCCUACCAAGGCGACGAUCCAUAGCUGGUCUGAGAGGAUGAUCAGCCACACUGGGACUGAGACACGGCCCAGACUCCUACGGGAGGCAGCAGUGGGGAAUAUUGGACAAUGGGCGAAAGCCUGAUCCAGCAAUGCCGCGUGAGUGAUGAAGGCCUUAGGGUUGUAAAGCUCUUUUACCCGGGAUGAUAAUGACAGUACCGUGAGAAUAAGCUCCGGCUAACUCCGUG
RNAcentral lists this ribosomal RNA (433 nucleotides) under uncultured bacterium. RNAcentral describes it as "partial 16S ribosomal RNA". It matches the Rfam family "Bacterial small subunit ribosomal RNA", at positions 29 to 507 of the family's 1533-position model. The record is from RNAcentral.